This 1201-nucleotide ribosomal RNA is filed under the name metagenome. RNAcentral's name for it is "bacterial SSU rRNA". It matches the Rfam family "Bacterial small subunit ribosomal RNA", at positions 320 to 1498 of the family's 1533-position model. The record is from RNAcentral.
UGAGACACUGCCCACACUCCUACGGGAGGCUGCAGUCGAGGAUCAUUCGCAAUGCGCGAAAGCGUGACGAUGCGACGCUGCGUGGAGGAUGACGGCCUUCGGGUUGUAAACUCCUGUCAUUUGGGAACAAUUGUUUCGGGGUUAAUAACCCCGGAGCCUGAUGGUACCAGAAGAGGAAGCCACGGCUAACUCUGUGCCAGCAGCCGCGGUAACACAGAGGUGGCGAGCGUUGUUCGGAUUUACUGGGCGUAAAGGGUGUGUAGGUGGUUUUGCAAGCUAGGUGUGAAAUCUCACUGCUCAGCGGUGAAACUGCAUUUAGAACUGCAGGACUAGAGUGCAGGAGGGGAAAGCAGAAUUCUUGGUGUAGCGGUGGAAUGCGUUGAUAUCAAGAAGAACACCGGUGGCGAAGGCGGCUUUCUGGAAUGCUACUGACACUGAAACACGAAAGUUGGGGGAGCAAACAGGAUUAGAUACCCUGGUAGUCCCAACCGUAAACGGUGUGAACUUGGUGUGGGGGGAUUUGACCCCCCCCGUGCCGGAGCUAACGCGAUAAGUUCACCGCCUGGGGAGUACGGCCGCAAGGCUAAAACUCAAAGAAAUUGACGGGGGCCCGCACAAGCGGAGGAGCAUGUGGCUCAAUUCGAUGCAACGCGAAGAACCUUACCAGGGCUUGACAUGCAGCUGCACGCCCGCUGAAAGGCGGGAAGCUUUCGAAGGUGCUGCACAGGUGCUGCAUGGCUGUCGUCAGUUCGUGCCGUGAGGUGUUGGGUUAAGUCCCGCAACGAACGCAACCCCUGUGUCUAGUUGCCACCGUAGGUGAUGAGCCUGCGAGCACUCUAGCCAGACUGCCCGUGCAAGCGGGAGGAAGGUGGGGACGACGUCAAGUCAGUAUGGCCCUUACGCCCUGGGCUGCACACGUGCUACAAUGGCUGGUACAAUGGGAAGCAAUACCGCGAGGUGGAGCCAAUCCAUAAAGCCAGUCCCAGUUGGGAUUGGAGUCUGCAAUUCGACUCCAUGAACGUGGAUUCGCUAGUAAUGGCGCAUCAGCUACGGCGCCGUGAAUACGUUCCCGGGCCUUGUACACACCUCCCGUCACAUCAUGAAAGCUUUUUGCACCCGAAGUCGCUGAUCCAACUCGCUUUUAGUGAGAGGAAGGCGCCGAAGGUGUGGGGAGUGAUUGGGAUGAAGUCGUAACAAGGUA